This 205-nucleotide long non-coding RNA is filed under the name Prunus persica (peach). RNAcentral describes it as "long non-coding RNA (PPER_LNC000872)". Lineage: Eukaryota; Viridiplantae; Streptophyta; Magnoliopsida; Rosales; Rosaceae. The record is from RNAcentral.
CAAAAUUGAAAAUUAAAACUAAAAACUGAAAACACUUUCAAGUUAUUUUAUAUAAAAAAGGUGAUUUUGAAAACUGAAAAUGAAAUCUGUUACCAAACAUGUUUUCAGUUUUCAGCUUUCAGUUUUCAAAAAGGUUAAAAUGAAAAUUGAAAACUAAAAAUGAAAUGGUUAUCAAACAAUCCCUAAUUUAUUAAUUAUAAAAUUG